ACGGAAGGCAGCAGUGGGGAAUAUUGCACAAUGGGGGCAACCCUGAUGCAGCGACGCCGCGUGAAGGAUGAAGUAUUUCGGUAUGUAAACUUCUAUCAGCAGGGAAGAUAAUGACGGUACCUGACUAAGAAGCCCCGGCUAACUACGUGCCAGCAGCCGCGGUAAUACGUAGGGGGCAAGCGUUAUCCGGAUUUACUGGGUGUAAAGGGAGCGUAGGCGGCAUGGCAAGACAGUAGUGAAAACUCGGGGCUCAACUCGGAGACUGCUAUUGAAACUGUCGAGCUUGAGUGCAGGAGAGGAAAGCGGAAUUCCUAGUGUAGCGGUGAAAUGCGUAGAUAUUAGGAGGAACACCAGUGGCGAAGGCGGCUUUCUGGACUGAUAAUGACGCUGAGGCUCGAAAGCGUGGGGAGCAAACAGGAUUAGAUACCCUGGUA
RNAcentral lists this ribosomal RNA (434 nucleotides) under uncultured Coprococcus sp. RNAcentral describes it as "partial 16S ribosomal RNA". It matches the Rfam family "Bacterial small subunit ribosomal RNA", at positions 341 to 792 of the family's 1533-position model. Lineage: Bacteria; Bacillati; Bacillota; Clostridia; Lachnospirales; Lachnospiraceae. The record is from RNAcentral.